This 856-nucleotide ribosomal RNA is filed under the name Galearia bruchi. RNAcentral's name for it is "bacterial SSU rRNA". It matches the Rfam family "Eukaryotic small subunit ribosomal RNA", at positions 656 to 1812 of the family's 1831-position model. The record is from RNAcentral. Lineage: Eukaryota; Metazoa; Arthropoda; Insecta; Hymenoptera; Eucharitidae.
AUCGCUCGCGAUGUUUAACUGACAUGAUUGUGGGACGUCCUACCGGUGGACUUAGCCUCUAUCUCUUCGGAUUUAGGGGCGGUCCAGCUAAUAUCCCAUCGCGGUGCUUUUCAUCGAGUGUCGAGGUGGGCCGGUACGUUUACUUUGAACAAAUUAGAGUGCUCAAAGCAGGCCAUCCUCGCCUGAAUACUGUGUGCAUGGAAUAAUGGAAUAGGACCUCGGUUCUAUAAACCUCACCAGGCCCGGACACCGGAAGGAUUGACAGAUUGAUAGCUCUUUCUUGAUUCGGUGGGUGGUGGUGCAUGGCCGUUCUUAGUUGGUGGAGCGAUUUGUCUGGUUAAUUCCGAUAACGAACGAGACUCUAGCCUGCUAAAUAGGCGUUACUUCUGGUAUCUCGAAGGCCCUCGGCUUCGGUCGAGCGGUUUUUACUACCGACGUACUAACAAAUCUUCUUAGAGGGACAGGCGGCGUCUAGCCGCACGAGAUUGAGCAAUAACAGGUCUGUAAUGCCCUUAGAUGUUCUGGGCCGCACGCGCGCUACACUGAAGGAAUCAGCGUGUCUUCCCUGACCGAAAGGCCCGGGUAACCCGCUGAACCUCCUUCGUGCUAGGGAUUGGGGCUUGCAAUUAUUCCCCAUGAACGAGGAAUUCCCAGUAAGCGCGAGUCAUAAGCUCGCGUUGAUUACGUCCCUGCCCUUUGUACACACCGCCCGUCGCUACUACCGAUUGAAUGAUUUAGUGAGGUCUUCGGACUGGUGCGCGGUAAUGUAAUUCUUACGUUGCCGAUUGCGCCGGGAAGAUGACCAAACUUGAUCAUUUAGAGGAAGUAAAAGUCGUAACAAGGUUUCCGUAGGUGA